AAUCAACGCUGGCGGCGUGCCUAACACAUGCAAGUCGAACGCGAAAGUCCCGCAAGGGAUGAGUAGAGUGGCAAACGGGUGAGUAACACGUGGGUGACCUGCCUUCGAGUGGGGGAGUAACGUCCCGAACGGGACGCUAAUACCGCAUAACAUCCUGCCUUUGUAACAGGUGGUGAUCAAAGCUGGGGACCCGCAAGGCCUGGCGCUGGAAGAGGGGCCCGCGUCUGAUUAGCAGGUUGGUGGGGUAACGGCUCACCAAGGCAACGAUCAGUAUCCGGCCUGAGAGGGCGGACGGACACACUGGGACUGAGACACGGCCCAGACUCCUACGGGAGGCAGCAGUGGGGAAUUGUUCGCAAUGGGCGCAAGCCUGACGACGCAACGCCGCGUGA
Molecule: ribosomal RNA, 392 nt
Filed under: uncultured bacterium
Lineage: Bacteria
Description: bacterial SSU rRNA
Rfam family: Bacterial small subunit ribosomal RNA
Source: RNAcentral